GAUGAAGAACGCAGCGAAAUGCGAUACUUGGUGUGAAUUGCAGAAUCCCGUGAACCAUCGAGUCUUUGAACGCAAGUUGCGCCCGAAGCCAUUAGGCCGAGGGCACGCCUGCCUGGGCGUCACACGUCGUUGCCCCCCCAUCUACUCCUUCGGGAUUGCGGGGGGCGGAUGAUGGCCUCCCGUGCGCCUCGUCGCGCGGUUGGCCUAAAUGCCAAGUCCUCGGCGACGCACGCCACGACAAUCGGUGGUUGCGAAACCUCGGUUGCCUGUCGUGUGCGGUCGUCGCGCAUCGAGGGCUCGAAAAAAUUGCCGGGCUUCGGCUCGACUUUCAACGCGACCCCAGGUCAGGCGGGGUUACCCGCUGAAUUUAAGCAUAUCAAUAAGCGAAGGA
This 391-nucleotide unclassified non-coding RNA is filed under the name soil metagenome. RNAcentral describes it as "partial contains 5.8S ribosomal RNA, internal transcribed spacer 2, and large subunit ribosomal RNA". The stretch from base 1 to 122 matches the Rfam family "5.8S ribosomal RNA", at positions 35 to 154 of the family's 154-position model. The record is from RNAcentral.